CCUACGGGAGGCAGCAGUGAGGAAUAUUGGUCAAUGGGCGCGAGCCUGAACCAGCCAAGUCGCGUGAGGGAUGAAGGUUCUAUGGAUCGUAAACCUCUUUUAUAAGGGAAUAAAGUGUGGGACGUGUCCUAUUUUGUAUGUACCUUAUGAAUAAGGAUCGGCUAACACCGUGCCAGCAGCCGCGGUAAUCCGGAGGAUACGAGCGUUAUCCGGAUUUAUUGGGUUUAAAGGGUGCGUAGGCGGCCUUUUAAGUCAGCGGUGAACGGCGGUGGCUCAACCAUAGAAUUGCCGUUGAAACUGGGGGUCUUGAGUAUGUUUGAGGCAGGCGGAAUGCGUGGUGUAGCGGUGAAAUGCUUAGAUAUCACGCAGAACCCCGAUUGCGAAGGCAGCCUGCCAAGCCAUGACUGACGCUGAUGCACGAAAGCGUGGGGAUCAAACAGGAUUAGAUACCCCUGUAGUC
Molecule: ribosomal RNA, 460 nt
Filed under: uncultured bacterium
Lineage: Bacteria
Description: partial 16S ribosomal RNA
Rfam family: Bacterial small subunit ribosomal RNA
Source: RNAcentral